UACGUAGGGUGCAAGCGUUAAUCGGAAUUACUGGGCGUAAAGCGUGCGCAGGCGGUGAUGUAAGACAGAUGUGAAAUCCCCGGGCUUAACCUGGGAACUGCAUUGGUGACUGGCAGGCUUUGAGUGUGGCAGAGGGAGGUAGAAUUCCACGUGUAGCAGUGAAAUGCGUAGAGAUGUGGAGGAAUACCGAUGGCGAAGGCAGCCUCCUGGGCCAACACUGACGCUCAUGCACGAAAGCGUGGGGAGCAAACAGG
RNAcentral lists this ribosomal RNA (254 nucleotides) under uncultured bacterium. RNAcentral describes it as "partial 16S ribosomal RNA". It matches the Rfam family "Bacterial small subunit ribosomal RNA", at positions 524 to 776 of the family's 1533-position model. The record is from RNAcentral.